AGUGAACGCUGGCGGUAGGCCUAACACAUGCAAGUCGAACGGCAGCACAGUAAGAGCUUGCUCUUACGGGUGGCGAGUGGCGGACGGGUGAGGAAUACAUCGGAAUCUACUUUUUCGUGGGGGAUAACGUAGGGAAACUUACGCUAAUACCGCAUACGACCUACGGGUGAAAGCAGGGGAUCUUCGGACCUUGCGCGAUUGAAUGAGUCGAUGUCGGAUUAGCUAGUUGGCGGGGUAAAGGCCCACCAAGGCGACGAUCCGUAGCUGGUCUGAGAGGAUGAUCAGCCACACUGGAACUGAGACACGGUCCAGACUCCUACGGGAGGCAGCAGUGGGGAAUAUUGGACAAUGGGCGCAAGCCUGAUCCAGCCAUACCGCGUGGGUGAAGAAGGCCUUCGGGUUGUAAAGCCCUUUUGUUGGGAAAGAAAAGCAGCAGGUUAAUACCCCGCUGUUCUGACGGUACCCAAAGAAUAAGCACCGGCUAACUUCGU
Molecule: ribosomal RNA, 491 nt
Filed under: uncultured bacterium
Lineage: Bacteria
Description: partial 16S ribosomal RNA
Rfam family: Bacterial small subunit ribosomal RNA
Source: RNAcentral